UUUCCAUUGUACAAACAAUAUGUAUACAAUGAGCAUAUUACACCAACACGCUUUCUCUCUCCUUCCCCAAAAAUUAUUUCAAAAAUAUUGUUCCCUUUCCAUGUAUAUAUUUUAAUAGCAUAAAAGAUAAGAACUUAACCCUACUGAUUAAUACUAAACAAUCUUAAAAGAUUUCUAAUACAAUUGAACUAAAUUUGGUUUGGAAUAUACAAACCAAAACCCAAAAAAAUCAACUCUCUAUUUGAAACUUCACCACAUUGCUAGCAUCUCCAAAGCCAUUUAUUUAAUAAAUCGCCAAUAUUGAAAGUGAUAAUGACUUCAAGAUUAUCGCCCAUUAUAAUAUUGACUAUUUCGAGAUGCACCAAAGUUGCAAGUACAAAAUAUUGCCUAUAGUAAAAAGGAAAAAAAAAAAAUAAAUAAAGAAUACUUUAAUAACCAAGUAUCCUAAACAAACAAAAAUGAAUUUCAAAGCAAACUCAAAACUUUUAAUCAAAUAAUUUGAAUUUGUUAUAUUGGAAAAAAAAAAAAAAUUACAUCUACAAGGUGCCUGUUGGCAAUGUUCACUCACAAAUUAAUCACACUUUGCUUAUCUGGAGGAGCGACACAUUGCCACAAGGAACGAUAUGCUGGAAUGUUGGCUGCCUCAAUACCGAGGGCAAUGAGGUUGCGUCCAUGCUCCUGGAUAUCAAGGAACAACUGCAUGCAUAUCUUGUCAGUAUCAGAAACACUCUGGUCUGAGACAUCUAAGCUCGCUCCAGCUCGUCGUUGAGCACCCUGCCGUAUUCUCUGGAGUGAAGAUUCUGUUUUCCUAGCCACGCAGACAAGUUCAGCAGCUAAUUCAUAAUAAUGACCAGUUAUUUCAGUUGCAGCACAAAGCAGUAAUUCGUUCCUAGUUUCCUCGGUUAAAUAAGUCAUAGCUCGCUCCCCAUCCAGAAAAGCCUUUAAAGGACGCAACACCCCUGACACAUAGGGUGAGUGUCUGAGAGGAAGAGGCUUAUUAGUCAUCCUGUAAGUUGCAGUUAUUCCCUUCACCUGUCUCAAGUCCUACAUCAUUUUCAAGCCAAAGCACUUGUGUGAAUGAACUUCUAUUCAAAUGCUAGCGAUUGAAAAAGAUUGAAAGGCAGAUAAAAACUAAGCAUCCUAAUCCUACAAAUCAUGAAUUCAAUCACUUUUGACAGAGCUUACCUCAACAGCCUUAUCAACUAGCAACUCUAUGAUUGCGUGUGCUAAAUCAUUUAAUGACUUUCCACCUUGUAAAAUGCUUUGUUUUACCAGAUCAAGAAUGUCAGGAGAACAUGAAGAUAGGCACUGAAGUACAUGAUCGAGGUAGCCACCACAAACCUCAGUGGCCACGUAAGUUAUGUCGUGAAUAAUAUAAACAAAAUCAUCAGGCACAGCUGAAACAGCCCAUUCAUAUCCAGAAUGAGAGGCUGCAUUACUGGUCUUCCAGCCAGCCAGUCCAGAUGAUAACCAAUUUGAAUAUCUUGCAAGAAGCUGUAACGAUAAGCGAAGAAACUUGUCCGAGCAUGAGAGGAUGAGUACAUCUUCUCUCCAACAAGAUCUCAAGCUCUCCAAAAGAGUGGCGCUUUGCUUUAAUGUUAGGUCUUGCAAAUUUCCAUGACCAGAAUGUGAAUUCUGAACUGGGACAAGACUGGUUGCCGCAAGUGCUGAAUCCAGAGCCCCCGCUAUUUCCUGAAAUCGUAAAGAGAAAUAAACCCCAACAUUCCACUGCUUCAUGAACUCAGCAUAUACAGCUUCUGAUCGAAAUUUGGCGACUGCUGAUCUGGAUGGACAAUAGCCUUCAAGAUGAGCCAAGAAAUCUAGGCUUGACUUGUAAUUCAUCAGAAAUUCAGUUGGUCUUCCAGGGGAAAAGGCACCUGGCUUUCCCUUUUGAAUUGCUGAGAGAACCUCUUUCAAGAUUGAGUUGGCCAAGAAGUCAAAGACAUGCAGACCUGAAUUCUCUGCAGAAGAAAUUUCCAAAAGGAAUUUACAGUCUUUUUGAAUGAAUUGUUUAAUUUGGAGAUAAUCAUUUUCCAGUCCAUCUCCAGAUGCACCAGCAACCAUUCCUAAUGGUCCGUGUGGAAUAAUUUUCUGCAUUAGUGGAGCAACAAUAGUAGUGCGAAAAAUUUCUUCUGCACUCUUGGUGUUAUCAAUGGCAGCGUAUGCACGUAAACAAUUGUAUAUUGCAUUUUCAUCUUUGUGUUCCAGCCCAUCUAAAAAACAAUGUCCCAAACUUGCAUCCAACAAAAGGCUUGCACUUUGAAUUCUCUUCUCCAUAUUGUCAAUAAAAGGAAGGUUCUGUGUAUGAGCCAUAUAGAAUUUUAGCCGAUUCAUCUCACUGGCAAUUCUCUCCAGAAGCAUGCUUUGAGUCUCCCUGAAAUUUGUUCCAUUCUCAAUGGGUUGUAAGGAAGUGCCAUUGCUCAUAGCAUUCUUUAUACUUGAACUCAAAUCUCCAUUUGACCAGUCAGCUGGCACACUUGGUAGCUCCUUUAUAAGUUUCUCAACCUUAGAGACUACGUGAAACGUAUCCAACAAUAGCUCCAACACCUCUCUCGCUGCGGCUGCCUCCGAUCUCUGCUGCAAUCCAUUCCUCAAAGCCACAAGAGACGCAUCCACGCUUCCUCUAAAUCCCUCGAUCUUCUCCCGAAGCUCCAGCAGCGGGGCCCGCAUGCGCACCACGGCAGCGUCGACAUCGACGAGCUUGGUACUGAGAUUGACGAAAUCGGCAUAAUCACGGUUGAUGAGGUCGAUAAGCUCGUGGUUGAGGGAGGCAAGGUGGGCCUGGAGCUCCGAACGGAGCGUAUCGAAGGGAACGAAGGUGCGAAGCUCCGAGAUGUAGGACUCGGAGUCGAAGGUUGGGGAGAGAAAGAGAUUGGGUUUGAACCAGAGAGGGUGGGCGUCGAGUGGGUCCGAGAAGAGGUCCGUAGCAGACCUCGGCGGUGGAGUUGACAUCGAAUCCACCAUUUGGACUUGGGUUGGCUUGUUUUGUUUUCCUUUGGUAAGGAAGCUUUGGAAGAAGAGAUCAGAUCGCCCAUGCGAAUUAGAUUGAUAUUGGCAGGAUCUGUUAUUGUUGUCAAACGGCGAGUCGUUCUGGACGUGACGUCAGCUUGUUUUAAAAC
Molecule: unclassified non-coding RNA, 3119 nt
Filed under: Hevea brasiliensis (rubber tree)
Lineage: Eukaryota; Viridiplantae; Streptophyta; Magnoliopsida; Malpighiales; Euphorbiaceae
Source: RNAcentral